This 590-nucleotide ribosomal RNA is filed under the name crenarchaeote SCGC AAA001-B06. RNAcentral's name for it is "SSU rRNA". It matches the Rfam family "Archaeal small subunit ribosomal RNA", at positions 372 to 968 of the family's 1478-position model. Lineage: Archaea; Thermoproteati; Thermoproteota. The record is from RNAcentral.
AAGGUUAAUCCGAGUGAUUUCUGCUAAAGGAAUCUUUUGUUAGUUCUAAAAAUACUAGUGAAUAAGGGGUGGGCAAGUUCUGGUGUCAGCCGCCGCGGUAAAACCAGCACCUCAAGUGGUCAGGAGGAUUAUUGGGCCUAAAGCAUCCGUAGCCUGUUCUAUAAGUUUGCGGUUAAAUCUAUACGCUCAACGUAUAGGCUGCCGUAAAUACUGUAGAACUAGGGAGUGGGAGAGGUAGACGGUACUCGAUAGGAAGGGGUAAAAUCCUUUGAUCUAUUGAUGACCACCUGUGGCGAAGGCGGUCUACCAGAACACGUUCGACGGUGAGGGAUGAAAGCUGGGGGAGCAAACCGGAUUAGAUACCCGGGUAGUCCCAGCUGUAAACGAUGCAGACUCGAUGAUGCAAUGGCAUAGAGCUAUUGCAGUAUCGCAGGGAAGCCGUUAAGUCUGCCGCCUGGGAAGUACGUACGCAAGUAUGAAACUUAAAGGAAUUGGCGGGGGAGCACCACAAGGGGUGAAGCCUGCGGUUCAAUUGGAGUCAACGCCAGAAAUCUUACCCGGAGAGACAGCAGAAUGAAGGUCAGCGAGCU